RNAcentral lists this ribosomal RNA (301 nucleotides) under uncultured bacterium. Its description in RNAcentral is "partial 16S ribosomal RNA". It matches the Rfam family "Bacterial small subunit ribosomal RNA", at positions 509 to 807 of the family's 1533-position model. The record is from RNAcentral.
CAGUCGCCGCGGGAACACGAAGGGUGCAAGCGUUACUCGGAAUUACUGGGCGUAAAGCGUGCGUAGGUGGUGGUUUAAGUCCGUUGUGAAAGCCCUGGGCUCAACCUGGGAAUUGCAGUGGAUACUGGGUCACUAGAGUGUGGUAGAGGAUAGUGGAAUUUCCGGUGUAGCAGUGAAAUGCGUAGAGAUCGGAAGGAACAUCUGUGGCGAAGGCGACUAUCUGGGCCAACACUGACACUGAGGCACGAAAGCGUGGGGAGCAAACAGGAUUAGAUACCCCAGUAGUCCCUGUCUCUUAUAC